UCGGGGCCUAAGGCGAGGUCGAAAGACGUAGUCGAUGGAUAACAGGUUGAAAUUCCUGUACUAUCCUGUAACAGAACUGUGGGGACACAGGCAGAGAGCGUGAGCCGGGAAUGGAAAGACCGGUACAAGCGAGGUAGGAGAAGAGUUGGCAAAUCCGCUCUUUAAUCUGAAGACGUGAUGUGGACUGAAAAUAAGUAGGGAAGCACGUGAGCUGACUGUCAAGAAAAGCCGCUAUUGUUUGCAGGAUACCCGUACCGUAAACCGACACAGGUGGAUGAGGAGAGAAUCCUAAGGCCGACGGGAGAAGCAUUGUUAAGGAACUCGGCAAAAUGACUCCGUAACUUCGGGAGAAGGAGUGUCAGUAAGAUGGCCGCAGAGAAUUGGCCCAAGCAACUGUUUAGCAAAAACACAGGUCUAUGCAAAACCGAAAGGUGAGGUAUAUGGGCUGACGCCUGCCCGGUGCUGGAAGGUUAAGGGGAGAGGUUAGCGCAAGCGAAGCUUUGAACUUAAGCCCCAGUAAACGGCGGCCGUAACAAUAACGGUCCUAAGGUAGCGAAAUUCCUUGUCGGGUAAGUUCCGACCCGCACGAAAGGCGUAAUGAUUUGGGCACUGUCUCAACAAUGCACCCGGUGAAAUUGAAAUACCAGUGAAGAUGCUGGUUACCUGCGCCAGGACGGAAAGACCCCAUGGAGCUUUACUCCAGCUUGAUACUGGGAUUCGGUAUUGCAUGUACAGGAUAGGUGGGAGGCUAGGAAAUGGUAACGCCAGUUGCCAUGGAGCCAAUGUUGGGAUACCACCCUUGCAGUACUGGGUUUCUAACCAGCAGCCGUGAUCCGGCUGGGGGACAAUGUCAGGUGGGGAGUUUGACUGGGGCGGUCGCCUCCGAAAGGGUAUCGGAGGCGCUCAAAGGUUCCCUCAGAAUGGUUGGAAACCAUUCGAAGAGUGCAAAGGCAGAAGGGAGCUUGACUGCGACACCGACGGGUGGAGCAGGUACGAAAGUAGGACUUAGUGAUCCGGUGGUAUAAAGUGGGAUUGCCAUCGCUCAACGGAUAAAAGCUACCCUGGGAUAACAGGCUUAUCACUCCCAAGAGUUCACAUCGACGGAGUGGUUUGGCACCUCGAUGUCGGCUCAUCGCAUCCUGGGGCUGAAGUAGGUCCCAAGGGUUGGGCUGUUCGCCCAUUAAAGCGGUACGCGAGCUGGGUUCAGAACGUCGUGAGACAGUUCGGUCCCUAUCCGGCGUGGGCGUAAGAUAUUUGAGAGGAGCUGUCCUUAGUACGAGAGGACCGGGAUGGACUGGCCGCUGGUGUAUCUGUUGUCUUACCAAAGGCAUAGCAGAGUAGCCAAGCCGGGAAGGGAUAAACGCUGAAGGCAUCUAAGCGUGAAGCCCCCCUCAAGAUGAGAUAUCUCAUAACGUCAAGUUAGUAAGACCCCUUGAAGACGACGAGGUAGAUAGGGCAGAGGUGGAAGUGUGGUAACACAUGGAGCUGACUGUUACUAAUAGGUCGAGGGCAUAACC
RNAcentral lists this ribosomal RNA (1517 nucleotides) under metagenome. RNAcentral describes it as "bacterial LSU rRNA". It matches the Rfam family "Bacterial large subunit ribosomal RNA", at positions 1384 to 2925 of the family's 2925-position model. The record is from RNAcentral.